RNAcentral lists this long non-coding RNA (236 nucleotides) under Elaeis guineensis (African oil palm). Its description in RNAcentral is "long non-coding RNA (EGUI_LNC049498)". Lineage: Eukaryota; Viridiplantae; Streptophyta; Magnoliopsida; Arecales; Arecaceae. The record is from RNAcentral.
CCAUGCCAUCCCUUUGAAUUCCAUGGUAAAAAAUUAUGAAUUGCAUGUAAGAAUAAAGGGAUGCCAAGAGUUGGCGUCCUAUGGUGUCACCUAUCCUUUUCUAUUUAAAGGGGGCACUGCACCUGGUUUCUACAUGCCAAUUUGGGCUAUAGUUGGGCAUGGAAAUGAGAAGAAAAUAAUGAGAAAAAUCUAAGAAAAAGAUAAGAAAAAAGAGAGAGAAAAAUAGAAAGGAAGGA